AUAAGGAAUAUUAUGAACUUUUGGUGAUAACAAAUUCUUAUCAAAUAAUACUUUAAAAAUAUUAUUGAGUGGCAAUGCUCUGCUAAUCUAUUUUUGAUAAUGUUAAUUCUAAAAAGUAUUGGCGCCGCCACUGAGGGUUUUUAUUAUCGCUUUAUCCUGCAUGUUUUGAGUCUUGCGUCAGUCAGUUUUGAUUUUUCAAUUCAAGAGGCAGAAUUAGUUAUUGGGUCCGAUGAGGCUCUGGAAGACGACAUCAGUUAUGAGCUUUCAGCUUUGAUUGGUCGGUGAAAGGGUGAUUCAUUUCGCUGCUAUGGAAUCAACUCUAUUGUCACUAUGGAGACCUCUCCAAAAGGCUUGCAGCCAUGAAAGGGACAAAGAAAAGCAUACUAUAAACCUUCAAAGUGUAAUUUCCAGAUCAGUGAAACCUACCAGACUGAGAGCUGUCGUUCCAAGAAGAAGAAGAUACAUCUUUCCCUUCAUGUCAACCAAAAUGAAGUCAACGAUUGCAACAAAACAAUUACAAUGAUGAUGAAGACAUGCUCAAACAAAUUAAAAGCAUCAGAAAUUUCAAGCUUGAAGCAACAGGAAAAAAUUGCUAAGAAUUUUACGGCAAAAAGCGUUCAUAUAAAUGGAAAAUGUUGCUGAACUGUUUCAUCCAUAAUUGAAGCACCAAAAAAGUUAUCA
Long non-coding RNA from Gossypium arboreum, 681 nucleotides. RefSeq lists it as uncharacterized. The transcript has 2 exons. Lineage: Eukaryota; Viridiplantae; Streptophyta; Magnoliopsida; Malvales; Malvaceae. The record is from RefSeq and is a predicted model, not a curated record.